CUACAAGUCUCAUGGAGGCCAUGCUGCCUGAAUGAUGCGUAUUGUCAUACUUGGCAGGAAACAAGCUCUCUAAUUGCUGUUCCUGUGUGGCAGCCAGAGAGCCGGGUAUUAUAAUAAACGUUCAGAGUUUUUUUUUGUAGCAGAUGGGUGGGGUUAUAGUAUACAUGCUCCUGAAAAGUUAGCCUGCCUGGGCUUUCAGCCUCUCUGUUAGCUUUGACACCCCUGGGGAACUCCUUCAUUUAAUCAGUCAGGACUAAGUAGAUCCUUAGAUGUAUGUAAUCAUAUGUCUAGAUCGCAAAGCUUCCGUUAGUCCCCGGUAUUAGCUGUUAUCAGCCAUCACUAACAUAGAGAGGCUGCUGCCAACAUACAGACUCAAAUCUCUCUUGCCACUUUAAUAAUUUGAUUUUAUUUGUUUGUGUAGCUCUGUGUAGGGAUGAUAAUCAUUAUCCCGCUGUUGUACUGAGUGGGGAGGGACACAACUGGCCCCGUGCUUCUCAUUACGGCUGGACACAGCUCUGUGUAGGCCGAUAUAGCCUCUGUGUAGGCUGAUAUAGCCUCUGUGUAGGUCGAUAUAGCCUCUGUGUAGGUCGAUAUAGCCUCUGUGUAGGUCGAUAUAGCCUCUGUGUAGGUCGACACAGCUCUGUGUAGGUCGAUAUAGCCUCUGUGUAGGUCGAUGUAGCUCUGUGUAGGUCGAUAUAGCUCUGUGUAGGUCAUUGCAGCUCUGUGUAGGUUGAUGUAGCUCUGUGUAGGUCGAUAUAGCUCUGUGUAGGUCGAUGCAGCUCUGUGUAGGUCGACCCAGCUCUGUGUAGGUCGAUAUAGCUCUGUGUAGGUUGAUGUAUCUCUGUGUAUGCUGAUAUAGCCUCUGUGUAGGUCGAUAUAGCCUCUGUGUAGGUCGAUAUAGCCUCUGUGUAGGCCGAUAUAGCCUCUGUGUAGGUCGAUAUAGCCUCUGUGUAGGUCGACACAGCUCUGUGUAGGUCGAUAUAGCCUCUGUGUAGGUCGAUAUAGCCUCUGUGUAGGUCGAUAUAGUCUCUGUGUAGGUCGAUGUAGCUCUGUGUAGGUCGACAUACAGAGUUAUAUCGACUCUCAGCUCAUCUCAUAACCCUCAGCUCAUCUCAUAACCCUCAUCUCAUAACCCUCAGAUCAUGUCAUAACCCUCAGCUCAUCUCAUAACCCUCAUCUCAUAACCCUCAGCUCAUCUCAUAACCCUCGUCUCAUAACCCUCAGCUCAUCUCAUAACCCUCGUCUCAUAACCCUCAGCUCAUCUCAUAACCCUCAUGUCAUAACCCUCAGCUCAUCUCAUAACCCUCGUCUCAUAACCCUCAGCUCAUCUCAGAACCCUCGUCUCAUAACCCUCAGCUCAUCUCAGAACCCUCGUCUCAUAACCCUCAGCUCAUCUCAUAACCCUCAUCUCAUAACCCUAAUCUCAUAACCCUCGUCUCAUAACCCUCAGUUCAUCUCAUUUCGUUAUUAUUUUGGUUAGGCCAGGGUGUGACAUGGGGAUUUAUGUGGUUUGUUUUGUCUGGGGUUGUUUGUAGUUAUGGGAUUGUGGUUAGAGUAGUACUCUAGGUAAGUCUAUGGUUGCCUAGAGUGGUUCUCAAUCAGAGGCAGGUGUUUAUCGUUGUCUCUGAUUGGGAACCAUAUUUAGGCAGCCAUAUUCUUUAGGUCUCUUGUGGGUGAUUGUUCCUGUCUUUGUGUUUGUGGCACCAGAUAGGACUGUUUUGUGUUGGGUUUUGUGGGUGAUUGUUCCUGUCUUUGUGUUUGUGGCACCAGAUAGGACUGUUUUGGUUUUUCACGGUUCUUGUUUUGUAUAUUGUUGUAUUUUCAUCUUUAUUAAAGAUGUA
Molecule: long non-coding RNA, 1841 nt
Organism: Oncorhynchus tshawytscha (Chinook salmon)
Lineage: Eukaryota; Metazoa; Chordata; Actinopteri; Salmoniformes; Salmonidae
Source: Ensembl